Molecule: ribosomal RNA, 465 nt
Filed under: Vreelandella stevensii
Lineage: Bacteria; Pseudomonadati; Pseudomonadota; Gammaproteobacteria; Oceanospirillales; Halomonadaceae
Description: partial 16S ribosomal RNA
Rfam family: Bacterial small subunit ribosomal RNA
Source: RNAcentral
CCUACGGGAGGCAGCAGUGGGGAAUAUUGGACAAUGGGCGAAGGCCUGAUCCAGCCAUGCCGCGUGUGUGAAGAAGGCCUUCGGGUUGUAAAGCACUUUCAGUGGGGAAGAAAGCCUUGGGGCUAAUACCCUCGAGGAAGGACAUCACCCACAGAAGAAGCACCGGCUAACUCCGUGCCAGCAGCCGCGGUAAUACGGAGGGUGCGAGCGUUAAUCGGAAUUACUGGGCGUAAAGCGCGCGUAGGCGGUCUGAUAAGCCGGUUGUGAAAGCCCCGGGCUCAACCUGGGAACGGCAUCCGGAACUGUCAGGGUAGGGUGCAAGAGAGGAAAGUAGAAUUCCCGGUGUAGCGGUGAAAGGCGUAGAGAUCGGGAGGAAUACCAGUGGCGAAGGCGGCCUUCUGGACUGACACUGACGCUGAGGUGCGAAAGCGUGGGUAGCAAACAGGAUUAGAUACCCCGGUAGUC